UGGGGAAUAUUGGACAAUGGGGGCAACCCUGAUCCAGCGACGCCGCGUGUGUGCAGAAGGCCUGCGGGUUGUAAAGCACUUCUAGUGGGGAUGAAAAGUGCAGAGAUAAUACCUCUGCAUCUUGACCUAACCCACAGAAAAAGCACCGGCUAACUCUGUGCCAGCAGCCGCGGUAAUACAGAGGGUGCGAGCGUUAAUCGGAAUUACUGGGCGUAAAGCGUGCGCAGACGGUUGCGUAAGUCAGAUGUGAAAGCCCCGGGCUCAGCCUGGGAAUUGCAUUUGAGACUGCGUAGCUAGGGUGCGGAAGAGGGAAGCGGAAUUUCCGGUGUAGCGGUGAAAUGCGUAGAUAUCGGAAGGAACACCAGUGGCGAAAGCGGCUUCCUGGUCCAGCACCGACGUUCAGGCACGAAAGCGUGGGGAGCAAAC
This 426-nucleotide ribosomal RNA is filed under the name uncultured bacterium. Its description in RNAcentral is "bacterial SSU rRNA". It matches the Rfam family "Bacterial small subunit ribosomal RNA", at positions 355 to 773 of the family's 1533-position model. The record is from RNAcentral.